UGUUUUUGGUAGUUGGUAGAGCAUGAGACUCUUAAUCUCAGGAUUGUGGGUUUGAGCCCCAUGCUGGGCAC
Molecule: non-coding RNA, 71 nt
Organism: Pangasianodon gigas (Mekong giant catfish)
Lineage: Eukaryota; Metazoa; Chordata; Actinopteri; Siluriformes; Pangasiidae
Source: the annotation of a GenBank genome assembly